GCGAUUCCCUUAGUAGCGGCGAGCGAAACGGGAACAGCCCAGCGCAUAAUCUCCCGGGCUACCAAGCCUGCGGGGAAAUGUUGCGUCAAGGGAAUGGUCGCUAACAGCCUCGUACGCCCGUAGAUGUUGCCUAAUCGCGUCUUGAAAUAUUCGCGCAUGUUGGGUGCUACGUCUCUCGGGAUGAAACGCUCGACUCACGGUACCGUUGAGGGUGCAAGCCCCGUUCGGCCGCGUGUUGUUGCGUGCGAAGGCUAGACCAAUUUUCCCGGAGAGUCGCGUUGUUUGAACGUACAGCGCUAAGCAGGUGGUAAACUCCACCUAAGGCUAAAUAUGUCCACGGAACCGAUAGCUAACAAGUACCGCGAGGGAAAGUUGAAAAGUACUCUGGAGAGAGGGUGCAAAGACCGUGAAACCAUCCAGGGCAAAAGCCAAUGUCGAGUAUCCUAGUUGCGCUGGGACCAUCCCUCGGGGUGUGGAUGAGCUUGGGUGUGGUUGGCGACUAUCUGUCCGCUUGUAUGCGUUUGGAUUCGUCGGCCUUCUCGUAAUUGCUUAUCUGUUGUGUCCAUCAACAGCCCAUCGGAACUCUUGCUAGACCAUUCGCUGUUACACAAGUUUGACCUCUGCAUGUUCGUUAAGGGUGUUCGCUACCGAAAGUCCGCGUCAGAGUGAUUCCUCCUAUUAGUCUUCGGACGAAAGAGACCACUUUACGCGCCGGUGCAUUUAUGGCUUUCAAAGAGUUCAUCUGGAUAUGUAGAACCUACGCGUGUUGCUAAUGCGUUUUUGGUUCUGGGCGAGAGUUUAACUGACACUCUUGGAUUCGGAGUCCUUAUCCCUCGUGCUCGAGAGAGCAAGAAACGGUUUGGGCAAUGUUUUCGAGAAUCGAUACGGUGGUAUGCCUAGGCGACAUUGGUCACGUCUCGAAACACGGGCCAAGGAGCAUAGCGUAAAGGCAAGUCGCAAGGUCUUACAAAACCUCGUGGCGAGUGAAAGCGAGUGGGGAUCGAUUAAUUUCUUUCUCAGAUGGCAUAUGUGGAGUUCCAGUAAUGAGUCUAUAUAUGUUCAUCGUCUUGUACAGAGCUGAUCCUCUAGUUCCUCGGAACGAAAAGGCGCAGGCUCCGGGCUCGCUCGUUGUCCGCUUACAGAGGUCUCGUAUUUUUGUGAGUGGCUGAGAGAGCACUGCUUAGACUUUCCGCUAUAACCCGAAAGAUAGUGAACUAUGCUUGGCGAAGACGAAGCCCCAGGAAACUGUGGUGGAGGUCUGUAGCCGUUGUGACGUGCAAAUCCAUGGUGUCAGCUGAGCAUAGGGGCGAAAGACCAAUCGAACUAUCUAGUAGCUGGUUCCAUUCGAAGUUUCUCUCAGGAUAGCUUGCGCGAAGCAUACGCUCUUUGUCAAGUCGUUCGUUCGCAUAAGUGAUCGAAUGAUAGCCCUAAGAGUCUGACGCAAUUGAGACGUGUGGCGUGCCAUCUCGUUAUGUUCAUCUUCGGACCCAGGGUAGCGGAACAAUUUGUUUGCAGUUACGUCUGGUAAAGAGAAUGAGUAGAGUCGGCUCGUUGGUCUUUUUGCAUCAACGGCAGCGGGGCGUUCUACGCCUCGCACUAUUAUCAAACUUUAAAUGGGCGUGAAACCUAGCAUUGACUUAAUAGCUUGAUGCUAGGGAUCGCAUAUGCAUCCGCCUUGUGCGUUUGCAUGGAGAAUGCUCCCGCGUUAAGUGGGUCCGUUCUGGUAAGCAGAACUGAUAAUGAGGGAUGAACCUAACGUACGUGAUAAGGGGCCAAAAUGACAGCUAUUUCUCGAAACCAUUGGAAAGGUGUUGCUUGCUGAAGACAGCAGGACGGUGGUCAUGGAAGUUGACAUCCGCUAAGGAGUGUGUAACAACUCAUCCUGCCGAAGCGAGUAACCCUGAAAAUGGAUGGCUCUAUAGCUCUCUCCCGAUGCACGACCGUUAAUGGCACGAGAGAUCUAGUGUCUCAAUGCCUUAACGUGUAGAAUGGCGUGCUGGUAUGCGUCGAAGGCCUUAGCGUGAGCUUGGCCCGAGCUGCCAGCAGUGCAGAUCUUGGUGGUAGUAGCAAGUACUCUGGUGAAUAACCUUGAGCUGUGAGGUUGAUAAGGGUUCCAUGUCAACAGCGUUUGAACAUGGGUAAGCCGGUCCUAAGCUACCUUUAUGUCUUGAAGGUGACGGCUUAUGCGAGAGUUGACGUAAUACGGUACUGGUACUGACGUUGAGAGCGUACGUACGAAAGGACACAUUGUCUCUGGAGCAUGACUUGUAUCCGGGGCGAUCGCGAAAGGGCUUUGCGAAGCUUUCACGAGUAACGCAUAGUUUCGAUUAGCCGUCUCGGUGCAGACUUUGUUAUCUGGGUUCAUGUGUCAUCGACUAGGCGUCAUUGUUUCUCUCGUUGUAUUGGUUCGGAAUCGUCGCUUUAGCGUAGCUUGGCGAAAGGGAAAUGUGAACUCAGUUCAUAUGCCUCUCCUGGCACCCUGAAACGGUUUACCGUGACACGGACCUAGCGAUAGACGCCAGGCCAGUCGUUGUCAUAAGUUGUUCAGCGGGGAGAUUUCUUCUCUCUUUGAUAAGGCUUGUAGCUCUGAAAACACCUCGCGUGGCGGAAGAGCGAUCCCUUGUAUAGCAGAGUACUCUGCUCCCUCGAGUAGUCUGACGCAACUUGUGAUCCGUGAAAAGGUGGCCGAGGGGAUACAAUCAAAGUGUGUGUUACUUGUGCUAUUAGCGAUAUGGCUUGUUCGGACGCACGUAUGGCGUCACACCAAUGUGGCGCGUCUACGUGUUUUGUCCGAGCAAUUGUGGUCGUUCGUGAAAGUUUUAUGUGAUGCAACUACACUUUACUAGAGUGUUAGCCACGGAGUGACCGUACCCAUUUCCGCAUCCG
RNAcentral lists this ribosomal RNA (2886 nucleotides) under Parapronoe campbelli. RNAcentral's name for it is "partial 28S ribosomal RNA". It matches the Rfam family "Eukaryotic large subunit ribosomal RNA", at positions 71 to 1862 of the family's 3401-position model. Lineage: Eukaryota; Metazoa; Arthropoda; Malacostraca; Amphipoda; Pronoidae. The record is from RNAcentral.